UACGUAGGGUGCGAGCGUUGUCCGGAAUUAUUGGGCGUAAAGAGCUUGUAGGCGGUUUGUCGCGUCUGCUGUGAAAAUCCGGGGCUCAACCCCGGACUUGCAGUGGGUACGGGCAGGCUAGAGUGUGGUAGGGGAGACUGGAAUUCCUGGUGUAGCGGUGAAAUGCGCAGAUAUCAGGAGGAACACCGAUGGCGAAGGCAGGUCUCUGGGCCACUACUGACGCUGAGAAGCGGAAGCAUGGGGAGCGAACAGG
This 253-nucleotide ribosomal RNA is filed under the name uncultured prokaryote. RNAcentral's name for it is "partial 16S ribosomal RNA". It matches the Rfam family "Bacterial small subunit ribosomal RNA", at positions 524 to 776 of the family's 1533-position model. The record is from RNAcentral.